GCCGGGCAAGGUGGCGGGCGCCUGUAGUCCCAGCUACUCAGGAGGCUGAGGCAGGAGAAUGGCGUGAACCCGGGAGGCGGAGCUUGCAGUAAGCUGAGAUCCGGCCACUGCACUCUAGCCUGGGCAACNNNNNNNNNNGUUAGGUUACUAAUAUCAGUUAUUUUUUUUUUUUUUUUUUUGUUAGACGGAGUCUCGCUCUGUCACCCAGGCUGGAGUGCAGUGGCCGGAUCUCGGCUCACUGCAAGCUCGGCCUCCCGGGUUCACGCCAUUCUCCUGCCUCAG
This 282-nucleotide signal recognition particle RNA is filed under the name Chlorocebus sabaeus (green monkey). RNAcentral's name for it is "Metazoan signal recognition particle RNA". It matches the Rfam family "Metazoan signal recognition particle RNA". Rfam says of the family: The signal recognition particle (SRP) is a universally conserved ribonucleoprotein. Lineage: Eukaryota; Metazoa; Chordata; Mammalia; Primates; Cercopithecidae. The record is from Rfam by way of RNAcentral.